Molecule: long non-coding RNA, 2716 nt
Organism: Apis cerana (Asiatic honeybee)
Lineage: Eukaryota; Metazoa; Arthropoda; Insecta; Hymenoptera; Apidae
Source: RefSeq, a predicted model, not a curated record
ACAAAGUCACUGGUUUCUGGUUUUCGGCCCGUUUCAUCGUGGACCGCGUUCGACGCGGAAACGCGUAUUAAUAGUUCGGUGGAAAUGGAAUCUAGGUGAGGAACGGGUGAGAAACAGAGGCCGGCGAGCUGUUAUGCGGCGUGGAUGAGACGGAUUCGCACCGGAUUCGACUCGAUGUCCGCCAAUUUAUCGUCGGAUAAGGCCGAUCGAUCGCGGUUUCGCCUUUCGCGUGUUCCCAACGGUGAAUUUCGGAAACGAUACCACGUUUCCACACGUCCACGACGGGGUGGAUCAAGUUGUUAACGCGCUAUUUCUUGUUUGCCCGACGAUCUCUGCUCCAUCGCAUUUCGUGGAAUUGAACCAAGUGAUUUAAAAGGAAAGGAAAACGUUCUUGAUACGAUUCGUGUUUGGGACGAUGUUAAUAAAGUUGGCAUCUUGGGCUGGAAAUAAUUGAGACGAGAGAACGGUGUCAGAAACCCAGGACAAGGAAGAAGAUACGAAGAAGUGGCGUGCAACUCGAAGUGCGUUCUUGCAAGGAGGGCAAGGAGGGUUUAAUUAAUUGCCAGCGUGCUAAUUAAGGGCGAGGAAACGUGGUGUCGCGGCCGCCCUAUUUGCUCGACACGCCAGCCACAGACAAGCCAAGCUGUUUCAAACUGCGCUCACAACCUUCCAAGUUCAGCCAACCUCCCACUCUCCCACUCUCAUUAGUCCUAAUCGUAUCGCCUUCACGCUAUGGUGAACCUGGUGAAUGUUUGGAUAUGCGUUUGGACGGCGAAUUUCGAUUCGACUCGACCGGCUGUUCGAAUGUCUUGCGAAUUUUGGGCAGAAAGUUUUGACGUGUGUGGAUCGAUAAAGAGUAGUUCGUAGCAUAUUGGUCGAAUAAUUCAAUGGAGAAUUCUAUGGAAUUCGAUAGUUACGAUUUUGAUAUUAUGAGAAUUUCAAGAUUCAUAGGAGUCGAGAAGUGUUUUAUGAGCGAAAUCCAGAUCAAAAUGUUAUCUUCCUAUUCCAAUUUCUCUUGUAAUAACAAUACUUUUCUUAUCUCUUCUUGUUACUUUUUGCCAUGCGAUUAAAUCUGCAAAAUCUUCCGAAUCGCUUUUUGCGAGAAAGGAUUUAAAAGAAUAAACUUCGAAGCUAUUUGCUAUUAAAACCAGUUAAUAAACUUCCUGGCAAGCAAUCCCAUAAUAGUUUUCAGAAACCUCGUAGAAAACGCGCAAUAACUAAAAAGCGGCGCCAUCUAGGAAAACGUAACGGUGAAUCACGAGUCCCGUAGAGCGGCGCUAAUUCCUUGGUAAAUAAGGCGAACGAUAAUGUACGCGUUUCAAUAAUUCAAUUAAAACUGUAAAUUGUCGUCGCGCGUUUAUUUUUUUUCUUUCGAACUCAAAACUCGAGAAACCACCGUGUCCGAGCGUGGUCUCGCCGAUUAAUUAGAUCGCCGCCGACUAAUUGAGACUUUUACGUCGCCCGUAAUAAGAACAAUAUGACUCGAGAUCGUCGAAGGGAAUGAAAGUCGAAGAGCUUGGAUGGAAAUUCGCGUGUAAGAUCUGGACGGAUAAAGAAAGCGCGAGUCGUGAUUGUGUGCAAAUUGCACGCCACGAUGUGCCGUGUCACGGUAAAUGUUUUGCGGAAUAUUGAAAAAAAAAAAAAAAGACACGUUAUUUGUACUCUUCUAUUCUGUGAAUGGCGAGAAUCUAAUCUGAGCAAUUUUCCUGCAAAUAUUUUUUUUAUAGAAAGAAAAGUGGUAACGUAGAAUAUUAUCGUCUCGUUUUUUGAGCGAAUUCUUGAACGAAUGUGUGAACUUUGCUCGUUUCUUAUAUCCGAGGCCUUGGAAUUUAUGCAGUGUCGUACAUAAUCGUGUAUAAAAGUUUAUUAACAUUUGUUUGUUUCUUAUAUUGUUUCUGUGUAUAUAAAAGAGUUCAGGAUAAAGAAAGGAAUUUUAAUUGGGAAAUAUUUUGAUCCCAUAUUAAUAUUUACGUUUGAUGUAAUUGUUAUAAAUUUAUAAUUCAAUCGAUGAAAGAUUUACAUCGGUAUGCAAAUAACAUUUUUUUUUUUUUGAUGAAUAAAAAGUUUAUCACUUUGUUUCGAGAGGACGGAAUUAUCCAAAGAGAGUGGCGUAUCUAAAUGAAUUGAGAAUUCCCAUUGGUGAUACCAAGUUCCAUAUUAUCUUUGCGCAUAUGGGGUUUGUAUGGUUAAUUAAAAAUUCCAUAUUAUUACAGGACAGAUUUCCAUUAAUAUUUACAAGUAAUUAAAAAAACUUUAUGAAACUUAUUAUUAACUUAUGAUUAAACCUAAAGAUUAAGAAUUACUAGAAUAUCAAAAAAUUGUAAACUUUCGUAACUAACUAUUUAGUUAAUUGUUAAUCGGAUAUGUAAAUUGUAUAUAUAAACCAGUUUAUUUUGCAAUUCAUAUUUUCUCCUCGCUAUCUCCUAUUGCUAUCAGCCUUUGCUCUAAAAUACGCAAACCAGAAGGUUAGUAUUCAAAGGAGAGAGUGUCCUCGCGCGAAACAGUAUUCGAAAUCUAUGAAUAUUUGAUGAUUCGGUUUUCAUGCAUAGUUUCCUCGGUUUGGUACCCUGUUCAUUAUUACUGUUUGUUGAUCGUAGCUGGGAGUAAUGCUAAUUGGAAUUGUUCGUAACAUUACACUUGAUACACGAUACGGGAUAAUUGUACGAAUGUGAUGUAUUUCGAAAUAGGGAAGAAAUAAACUGUAUGUACAAAACAA